RNAcentral lists this ribosomal RNA (465 nucleotides) under uncultured bacterium. Its description in RNAcentral is "partial 16S ribosomal RNA". It matches the Rfam family "Bacterial small subunit ribosomal RNA", at positions 28 to 507 of the family's 1533-position model. The record is from RNAcentral.
GACGAACGCUGGCGGCGUGCUUAACACAUGCAAGUCGAACGGUGAACUCCGCUUGCGGGGGGAUCAGUGGCGAACGGGUGAGUAACACGUGGGCAACCUGCCCUCAGCUCUGGGAUAACUCCAAGAAAUUGGGGCUAAUACCGGAUAUGACCGCUGACCGCAUGGUCUGGUGGUGGAAAGAUUUAUCGGCUGGGGAUGGGCCCGCGGCCUAUCAGCUUGUUGGUGGGGUAGUGGCCUACCAAGGCGACGACGGGUAGCCGGCCUGAGAGGGUGACCGGCCACACUGGGACUGAGACACGGCCCAGACUCCUACGGGAGGCAGAAGUGGGGAAUAAUGCGCAAUGGGAGAAAGCCUGACGCAGCGACGCCGCGUGGGGGAUGACGGCCUUCGGGUUGUAAACCUCUUUCAGCAAGGACGAAGCGAAUGUGACGGUACCUGCAGAAGAAGCACCGGCCAACUACGUG